Molecule: transfer RNA, 73 nt
Filed under: Myotis lucifugus (little brown bat)
Lineage: Eukaryota; Metazoa; Chordata; Mammalia; Chiroptera; Vespertilionidae
Rfam family: tRNA
About the family: Transfer RNA (tRNA) molecules are approximately 80 nucleotides in length. Their secondary structure includes four short double-helical elements and three loops (D, anti-codon, and T loops). Further hydrogen bonds mediate the characteristic L-shaped molecular structure. tRNAs have two regions of fundamental functional importance: the anti-codon, which is responsible for specific mRNA codon recognition, and the 3' end, to which the tRNAs corresponding amino acid is attached (by aminoacyl-tRNA synthetases). tRNAs cope with the degeneracy of the genetic code in two manners: having more than one tRNA (with a specific anti-codon) for a particular amino acid; and 'wobble' base-pairing, i.e. permitting non-standard base-pairing at the 3rd anti-codon position.
Source: Rfam by way of RNAcentral
GCCCAUUUGGCUCAGUGGAUAGAGCAUUGGUGUGAGGACCGAAGGGUCCCGGGUUCGAUUCCGGUCAAGGGCA